Molecule: ribosomal RNA, 258 nt
Filed under: uncultured bacterium
Lineage: Bacteria
Description: partial 16S ribosomal RNA
Rfam family: Bacterial small subunit ribosomal RNA
Source: RNAcentral
UGGCGGACGGGUGAGUAACGCGUGGGUAACCUGCCUUACACAGGGGGAUAACACUUAGAAAUAGGUGCUAAUACCGCAUGAGCGCACAGGACCGCAUGGUCGAGUGUGAAAAACUGAGGUGGUGUAAGAUGGACCCGCGUCUGAUUAGCUAGUUGGUGAGGUAACGGCCCACCAAGGCGACGAUCAGUAGCCGGCCUGAGAGGGUGAACGGCCACAUUGGGACUGAGACACGGCCCAAACUCCUACGGAAGGCAGCAG